UGGUGGACUGAGACCAGAGUUCUUA
RNAcentral lists this non-coding RNA (25 nucleotides) under Cricetulus griseus (Chinese hamster). The record is from RNAcentral. Lineage: Eukaryota; Metazoa; Chordata; Mammalia; Rodentia; Cricetidae.